AACACUUCAAAUCAACUAUAGCUUUCCCAGCAGCCUUUUCCUGGAAAGGAUAUUUUCUUCUACAAAAGAAAUUUCUACAGAAAAAUUCUGAUAUGGUCAACUAAGUAGAGCAUCUGGUGUAUGCAGCUGGUCUAAGGUGGUUUUGCUGGGUGGGGAUUUGCAGAACCGAGCCCUCAGUUUGCAAACAUAAAUGAUGACUUCGGGUCAGCAACGGCUGAGGAUUUCACCUGGCGGGCAGUGAACUUCAGUUCAUAAAAAGAAAUUUCAAAGGUGAGCUUCGUGACGCUUUGAACAAGGAGGAAAACACUGGAGUUCUCCAUCAAGGCCUUGAGCCAAGCCAGAUUCCAUCUGUGUGCUCUGCUCUACUGGAGUGGUUGUGUCCAUGUGC
RNAcentral lists this long non-coding RNA (388 nucleotides) under Chrysolophus pictus (golden pheasant). RNAcentral describes it as "lncRNA (ENSCPIG00010014847.1)". The record is from RNAcentral. Lineage: Eukaryota; Metazoa; Chordata; Aves; Galliformes; Phasianidae.